UUUCGAAAGAAAGAUUAAUACCCGAUAGUAUGUUUUUACCGCAUGGUAAUUCCAUUAAAGUUUUUCGGUGAUUGAUGGGGAUGCGUUUCAUUAGAUUGUUGGUGAGGUAACGGCUCACCAAGUCUUCGAUGAAUAGGGGUUCUGAGAGAAAGGUCCCCCACACUGGUACUGAGACACGGACCAGACUCCUACGGGAGGCAGCAGUGAGGAAUAUUGGUCAAUGGGCGUUAGCUUGAACCAGCCAAGUAGCGUGAAGGAUGACUGCCCUAUGGGUUGUAAACUUCUUUUAUAUAGGAAUAAAGUGUACCACGUGUGGUAUUUUGUAUGUACUAUAUGAAUAAGGAUCGGCUAACUCCGUGCCAGCAGCCGCGGUAAUACGGAGGAUCCGAGCGUUAUCCGGAUUUAUGGGGUUUAAAGGGUGCGUAGGCGGGCUAUUAAGUCAGCUGUGAAAGUUUGAGGCUCAACCUUAAAAUUGCAGUUGAUACUGGUAGUCUUGAGUAUAGUAGAGGUUGGCGGAAUUCGUGGUGUAGCGGUGAAAUGCUUAGAUAUCACGAAGAACUCCUAUUGCGAAGGCAGCUGACUAUGCUAUAACUGACGCUGAUGCACGAAAGUGUGGGUAUCAAACAGGAUUAGAUACCCUGGUAGUCCACACAGUAAACGAUGAAUACUCGUUGUUUGCGAUAUACUGCAAGCGACCAAGCGAAAGCAUUAAGUAUUCCACCUGGGGAGUACGCCGGCAACGGUG
This 745-nucleotide ribosomal RNA is filed under the name uncultured bacterium. RNAcentral describes it as "bacterial SSU rRNA". It matches the Rfam family "Bacterial small subunit ribosomal RNA", at positions 149 to 896 of the family's 1533-position model. The record is from RNAcentral.